Non-coding RNA from Misgurnus anguillicaudatus (oriental weatherfish), 919 nucleotides. NCBI's taxonomy places the organism in Eukaryota, Metazoa, Chordata, Actinopteri, Cypriniformes, Cobitidae. The record is from RefSeq and is a predicted model, not a curated record.
UCUGAGGUAGCACCAUCCUUGUGGUUUGAGUUGAACAAUGGGGGUAUUGAGACCAAAAUGAACAAUGUGCCACUCUAGACAGCUGUGGACAAAAUAUGCAUUCAGAGUAUUUUCUCAAACAGAGAGAGAAUUCCAGGCCAAAAGGACUCAACAGAGACAACAUUGUCAGUACACAAAACAAAAAGUUGGAAUGAUUAAGAAAAAUGCAUGUUUCUAUACAUAUUUUAUGUGAAUUAAUCAUUAUUGACAGUAAUUGCACAAGUGUAAGUAAAAACUUUAAAAAAAUCCAACUGUUGAAUAUUUGAUUGUUAAAUGCUAAACGUUAAACUAAAGUGUACAUGGUCCAUGUUAAUGUUUUUAGUAUUUUUUUUUCAGCUGAGGAGCCAGAUGAGGAGCAACCAGUACAUCAAAGCAAAAAGAUGCUAUGAUAUUGUCUGAGGCACCUUAUUUUCCAUGUCCUUCACAAUCACAACUGCAGCACACCAGUCAAUUUCUGCCAUUCAGAAGAAUCAGAAAGAAAUCUUGGAUUGGAAAAUCAUUCUGAAAGUAGACUAAAUUCAGGACAACAUCACAGCAGUGGUCGGAAAAACAUCAGUCAAUGAGCAAGCCAAGCUAACUUUCCAAAGAUGAUUUGUUAUCUGUCUUCAGAGGGAAGGCAGCUUGGAGGAUGCUACAGCUACACAGGGAGAAUUUCAGCAGCUCAGUUUCAUACUUGCAACUAAUAAUGAAUAAUAGUUAGAAGACAGCGGAAAGAAUUGACAUCGCAGAGACACACACCAAGAGACACGCACACACACGCAGCUGAAGCGAGUUUGACUGACGCGCAUGGGAGAUCGGGCACCGUGCACGCACACACAAACAUGGAGCACAGCAUAAUUACAACUGUUGGAUUAAAAUAAAAGUACUUUGUGGUAUACAA